CCCUGCUUCACUGUAAGCUUUCGAGCAACAGAAACUAGGCUAAGAUUGCAGCCUGCAGAGACUCCAAGCGGAGUCGGAGAAAUUUGGCCUCGUUUUAAUAGGGCUGAGGAAUGAACUCCGGAGGUCAAUAAAGCCCUCCAAAAAUGAUGAAUGAUUGAGCACCUGUGAUGAUGAUAGUGAUUACCAGAGCAAUUAAACAGUUUGAUUAAAUGAGCCAUCAUAACAAUGAUGUCUGCGGGAAAUCGGCCCUCACAUAUAAAGAAAGAUAGUGCGAAGGGGCUGGCAGAGGCGCGGAUAGCGCGACGCCAGGGAGAGGGGCUGCGGGCCGCGAGGUUUCUGCCCAAUGGCCCGAGCAGGGACGGCCAGACUCACGGAGCUUCAGGGAGGAGAGUGUAGCCCAGGUUUUCAGCCACUCUUUUUUGCCGGGCUUCAAGCCUGCUAGAGCCGACGGGUAGGAAAUCUGAAGGUUGGGGGGAGGGUACUUCCUCCACGUCCUCUUUUUUUUCCUAGAAGAACUCCAAGAUUAAAAGUAUCCUUAUUUGUUGCUGAGUUGCUCGUCGACAUUUAAGAGAAGGAUCUUCCUUUGUCUCCCAGCCUGGAAUGCAGUGGCACAAUCACUGCUCACUGCAGCCUUGACCGUCUGGACUCAAGUGAUUCUCCUACUUCAACCUCCCAAGUAGCUGGGACUACAGUCAUGCACCAUCAUGCCUAUAAAGAUAAUUUAAUUUAUAAUAAAUUAUUUAUACAAACAAUAACAUUCAGUAUAUUUUUCCAAGACCUUGAUAAAAUAUGAUAGUGGUAUUCUUUUCUUGCCAUAUAUACUCAACCAUUCAAUUCAACCAACAAAUACCAUGAUGAUUGUGUGCUACUCUACAUGUUAAGGGGGUGUCAUGUACAA
Molecule: long non-coding RNA, 898 nt
Filed under: Homo sapiens (human)
Lineage: Eukaryota; Metazoa; Chordata; Mammalia; Primates; Hominidae
Description: HSALNT0380622
Source: RNAcentral